CGUGGGCGAAGUUCGUCCGCGGGACUCGGAAUGGCACCAGACUUGGCGGGCGGCCUCCGUGUGCCAAUAAUAGGCCACGGGCACAGCCGCGCCCAAAAAACAGCCCCCGAAGUUCGGGGUCCCAAGACGCCCCAGCGGAAAAAUGGCCAAAAAACGGGUGGGCUAUAGCCUUGGUGGGGGGCGUGGGCGAAGUUCGUCCGCGGGACUCGGAAUGGCACCAGACUUGGCGGGCGGCCUCCGUGUGCCAAAAAUAGGCCACGGGCACAGCCGCGCCCAAAAAACAGCCCCCGAAGUUCGGGGUCCCAAGACCCCCCAGCGGAAAAAUGGCCAAAAAACGGUGGGCUAUAGCCUUGGUGGGGGGCGUGGGCGAAGUUCGUCCGUGGGACUCGGAAUGGCACCAGACUUGGCGGGCGGCCUCCGUGUUGCAAAAAUAGGCCACGGGCACAGCCGCGCCCAAAAAACAACCCCCGAAGUUCGGGGUCCCAAGACCCCCCAGCGGAAAAAUGGCCAAAAAACGGUGGGCUAUAGCCUUGGUGGGGUGCGUGGGCGAAGUUCGUCCGCGGGACUCGGAAUGGCACCAGACUUGGCGGGCGGCCUCCGUGUGCCAAAAAUAGGCCACGGGCACAGCCGCGCCCAAAAAACAGCCCCCGAAGUUCGGGGUCCCAAGACCCCCCAGCGGAAAAAUGGCCAAAAAACGGUGGGCUAUAGCCUUGGUGGGGGGCGUGGGCGAAGUUCGUCCGUGGGACUCGGAAUGGCACCAGACUUGGCGGGCGGCCUCCGUGUGCCAAAAAUAGGCCACGGGCACAGCCGCGCCCAAAAAAACAGCCCCCGGAAGUUCGGGGUCCCUAGACCCCCCAGCGGAAAAAUGGCCAAAAAACGGUGGGCUAUAGCUUGGUGGGGGGCGUGGGCGAAGUUCGUCCGUGGGACUCGGAAUGGCACCAGACUUGGCAGGCGGCCUCCGUGUUGCAAAAAUAGGCCACGGGCACAGCCGCGCCCNNNNNNNNNNNNNNNNNNNNNNNNNNNNNNNNNNNNNNNNNNNNNNNNNNNNNNNNNNNNNNNNNNNNNNNNNNNNNNNNNNNNNNNNNNNNNNNNNNNNGGGCGAAGUUCGUCCGCGGAAUCGGAAUGGCACCAGACUUAGCGGGCGGCCUCCGUGUGCCAAAAAUAGGCAACGGGCACAGCCGCGCCCAAAAAACAGCCCCCGAAGUUCGGGGUCCCAAGACCCCCCAGCGGAAAAAUGGCCAAAAAACGGGUGGGCUAUAGCCUUGGUGGGGGGCGUGGGCGAAGUUCGUCCGCGGGACUCGGAAUGGCACCAGACUUGGCGGGCGGCCUCCGUGUGCCAAAAAUAGGCCACGGGCACAGCCGCGCCCAAAAAACAGCCCCCGAAGUUCGGGGUCCCAAGACCUCCCAGCGGAAAAAUGGCCAAAAAACGGGUGGGCUAUAGCCUUGGUGGGGGGCGUGGGCGAAGUUCGUCCGCGGGACUCGGAACGGCACCAGACUUGGCGGGCGGCCUCCGUGUGCCAAAAAUAGGCCACGGGCACAGCCGCGCCCAAAAAUCAGCCCCCGAAGUUCGGGGUCCCAAGACCUCCCAGCGGAAAAAUGGCCAAAAAACGGGUGGGCUAUAGCCUUGGUGGGGGGCGUGGGCGAAGUUCGUCCGCGGGACUCGGAACGGCACCAGACUUGGCGGGCGGCCUCCGUGUGCCAAAAAUAGGCCACGGGCACAGCCGCGCCCAAAAAUCAGCCCCCGAAGUUCGGGGUCCCAAGACCCCCCAGCAGAAAAAUGGCCAAAAAACGGGUGGGCUAUAGCCUUGGUGGGGGGCGUGGGCGAACUUCGUCCGCGGGACUCGGAAUGGCACCAGACUUGGCGGGCGGCCUCCGUGUGCCAAAAAUAGGCCACGGACACAGCCGCGCCCAAAAAACAGCCCCCGAAGUUCGGGGUCCCAAGACCCCCCAGCGGAAAAAUGGCCAAAAAACGGUGGGCUAUAGCCUUGGUGGGGUGCGUGGGCGAAGUUCGUCCGCGGGACUCGGAAUGGCACCAGACUUGGCGGGCGGCCUCCGUGUGCCAAAAAUAGGCCACGGGCACAGCCGCGCCCAAAAAACAGCCCCCGAAGUUCGGGGUCCCAAGAACCCCCAGCGGAAAAAUGGCCAAAAAACGGGUGGGCUAUAGCCUUGGUGGGGGGCGUGGGCGAAGUUCGUCCGCGGGACUCGGAAUGGCACCAGACUUGGCGGGCGGCCUCCGUGUGCCAAAAAUAGGCCACGGGCACAGCCGCGCCCAAAAAACAACCCCCGAAGUUCGGGGUCCCAAGACCUUCCAGCGGAAAAAUGGCCAAAAAACGGUGGGCUAUAGCCUUGGUGGGGGGCGUGGGCGAAGUUCGUCCGUGGGACUCGGAAUGGCACCAGACUUGGCGGGCGGCCUCCGUGUGCCAAAAAUAGGCCACGGGCACAGCCGCGCCCAAAAAACAGCCCCCGAAGUUCGGGGUCCCAAGACCCCCCAGCGGAAAAAUGGCCAAAAAACGGGUGGGCUAUAGCCUUGGUGGGGGGCGUGGGCGAAGUUCGUCCGCGGGACUCGGAAUGGCACCAGACUUGGCGGGCGGCCUCCGUGUGCCAAAAAUAGGCCACGGGCACAGCCGCGCCCAAAAAACAGCCCCCGAAGUUCGGGGUCCCAAGACCCCCCAGCGGAAAAAUGGCCAAAAAACGGGUGGGCUAUAGCCUUGGUGGGGGGCGUGGGCGAAGUUCGGCCGCGGGACUCGGAAUGGCACCACACUUGGCGGGCGGCCUCCGUGUGCCAAAAAUAGGCCACGGGCACAGCCGCGCCCAAAAAACAGCCCCCGAAGUUCCGGGUCCCAAGACCCCCCAGCGGAAAAAUGGCCAAAAAACGGUGGGCUAUAGCCUUGGUGGGGGGCGUGGGCGAAGUUCGUCCGCGGGACUCGGAAUGGCACCAGACUUGGCGGGCGGCCUCCGUGUGCCAAAAAUAGGCCACGGGCACAGCCGCGCCCAAAAAUGAGCUCCCGAAGGUCGGGUUCCAACACCCCCCAGCGGAAAAAUGGCCAAAAAACGGCUGCGCUAUAGCCUUGGUGGGGGGCGUGGGCGAAGUUCGUCCGCCGGACUCGGAAUGGCCCCAGACUUUGCGGGCGGCCACCGUUUGCCAAAAAUAGGCCACGGGCACAGCCGCGCCCAAAAAUGAGCGCCCGAAGGUCGGGGCGCCAACACCCCCCAGCGGAAAAAUGGCCAAAAAACGUGUGGGCUAUAGCCUUGGUGGGGGGCGUGGGCGAAGUUCGUCCGCCUGACUCGGAAUGGCCCCAGACUUUGCGGGCGGCCUCCGUGUGCCAAAAAUAGGCCACGGGCACAGCCGCGCCCAAAAAUGAGCGCCCGAUGGUCGGGGCGCCCACACCCCCCAGCGGAAAAAUGGCCAAGAAACGGGUGGGCUAUAGCCUUUGGGGGGGGCGUGGGCGAAAUUCGUCCGCCGGAUUCGGAAUGGCCCCAGACUUUGCGGGCGGCCUCCGUGUGCCAAAAAUAGGCCACGGGCACAGCCGCGCCCAAAAAUGAGCACCCGAAGGUCGGNNNNNNNNNNNNNNNNNNNNNNNNNNNNNNNNNNNNNNNNNNNNNNNNNNNNNNNNNNNNNNNNNNNNNNNNNNNNNNNNNNNNNNNNNNNNNNNNNNNNCAACACCCCCCAGCGGAAAAAUGGCCAAGAAACGGGUGGGCUAUAGCCUUGGUGGGGCGCGUGGGCGAUGUUCAUCCGCCGGACUCGGAAUGGCCCCAGACUUUGCGGGCGGCCUCCCUGUGCCAAAAAUAGGCCACGGGCACAGCCGAGCCCAAAAAUGAGCGCCCGAAGGCCGGGGCGCCAACACCCCCCAGCGGAAAAAUGCCAAAAAACGGGUGGGCUAUAGCCUUGGUGGGGGGCGUGGGCGAAGUUCGUCCGCCGGACUCGGAAUGGCCCCAGACAUUGCGGGCGGCCUCCGUGUGCCAAAAAUUGGCCACGGGCACAGCCGCGCCCAAAAAUGAGCUCCCGAAGGUCGGGUUCCAACACCCCCCAGAGGAAAAAUGGCCAAAAAACGGGUGCGCUAUAGCCUUGGUGGGGGGCGUGGGCGAAGUUCGUCCGCCGGACUCGGAAUGUCCCCAGACUUUGCGGGCGGCCUCCGUGUGCCAAAAAUAGGCCACGGGCACAGCCGCGCCCAAAAAUGAGCGCCCGAAGGUCGGGGCGCCAACACCCCCCAGCGGAAAAAUGGCCAAGAAACGGGUGUGCUAUAGCCUUGGUGGGGGGCGUGGGCGAAGUUCGUCCGCCGGACUCGGAAUGUCCCCAGACUUUGCGGGCGGCCUCCGUGUGCCAAAAAUAGGCCACGGGCACAGCCGCGCCCAAAAAUGAGCGCCCGAAGGUCGGGGCGCCAACACCCCCCAGCGGAAAAAUGGCCAAGAAACGGGUGUGCUAUAGCCUUGGUGGGGGGCGUGGGCGAAGUUCGUCCGCCGGACUCGGAAUGGCCCCAGACUUUGCGGGCGGCCUCCGUUUGCCAAAAAUAGGCCACGGACACAGCCGCGUCCAAAAAUGAGCGCCCGAAGGUCGGGGCGCCAACACCCCCCAGCGGAAAAAUGGCGAAAAAACGUGUGGGCUAUAGCCUUGGUGGGGGGCGUGGGCGAAGUUCGUCCGCCUGACUCGGAAUGGCCCCAGACUUUGCGGGCGGCCUCCGUGUGCCAAAAAUAGGCCACGGGCACAGCCGCGCCCAAAAACGAGCGCCCGAAGGUCGGGGCGCCAACACCCCCCAGCGGAAAAAUGGCCAAAAAACGGGUGGGCUAUAGCCUUGGCGGGGGGCGUGGGCGAAGUUCGACCGCCGGACUCGGAAUGGCCCCAGACUUUGCAGGCGGCCUCCGUUUACCAAAAAUAAGCCACGGGCACAGCCGCGCCCAAAAAUGAGCGCCCGAAGGUCGGGGCGCCAACACCCCCCAGCGGAAAAAUAGCCAAAAAACGGGUGGGCUAUAGCCUUGGUGGGGGGCGUGGGCGAAGUUCGUCCGCCGAACUCGGAAUGGCCCCAGACUUUGCUGGCGGCCUCCGUGUCCCAAAAAUAGGCCACGGGCACAGCCGCGCCCAAAAAUGAGCGCCCGAAGGUCGGGGCGCCAACACCCCCCAGCGGAAAAAUGGCCGAAAAACGGGUGGGCUAUAGCCUUGGUGGGGGGCGUGGGCAAAGUUCGUCCGCCGGACUCGGAA
RNAcentral lists this long non-coding RNA (5194 nucleotides) under Citrus x clementina. RNAcentral describes it as "Citrus clementina (C. clementina) long non-coding RNA (CCLE_LNC006398)". The record is from RNAcentral. Lineage: Eukaryota; Viridiplantae; Streptophyta; Magnoliopsida; Sapindales; Rutaceae.